This 253-nucleotide ribosomal RNA is filed under the name uncultured bacterium. RNAcentral describes it as "partial 16S ribosomal RNA". It matches the Rfam family "Bacterial small subunit ribosomal RNA", at positions 524 to 776 of the family's 1533-position model. The record is from RNAcentral.
GACAGAGGCCCCAAGCGUUAGGCGGAAUCACUGGGCUUAAAGCGUGUGUAGGCGGACGCCUAAGUGCCUUGUGAAAUCCCACGGCUCACCCGUGGAACUGCUGGGCAUACUGGGCGUCUUGGGCCAACUAGGGGCAGCCGGAACAAGCGGUGGAGCGGUGAAAUGCGUAGAUAUCGCGUGGAACGCCGAAGGUGAAAACAGGCUGCUGGGGUUGCGCCGACGCUGAGACACGAAAGCCAGGGGAGCAAACGGG